UCCUCUUGACAUCCAGCGAACUUUCCAGAGAUGGAGGGGUGCCUUCGGGAACGCUCAGACAGGUGCUGCAUGGCUGUCGUCAGCUCGUGUUGUGAAAUGUUGGGUUAAGUCCCGCAACGAGCGCAACCCUUGUCCCUAUUUGCCAGCGAUUCGGUCGGGAACUCUUGGGAGACUGGCGGGGACAAACCGGAAGAAGGUGGGGACGAACUCAAAUCAUCCUGGCCCUUUCGGGUAGGGCUACCCACGUGCUACAAUGGCCGGUACAAAGGGUUGCCAAACCGCCAGGGGAAACCAAUCCCCAUAAAGCCGGCUUCAAUCCGGAUUGGAAUCUGCCACUCCACUCCCUGAAAUCGGAAUCCCUAGUAAUCGUGGAAUCAAAUGGCCCGGUGAAUACCUUUCCGGGUCUUUGACCCCCCGAAA
RNAcentral lists this ribosomal RNA (420 nucleotides) under Halomonas sp. enrichment culture clone TTGE_FP_11.1. RNAcentral's name for it is "bacterial SSU rRNA". It matches the Rfam family "Bacterial small subunit ribosomal RNA", at positions 976 to 1386 of the family's 1533-position model. Lineage: Bacteria; Pseudomonadati; Pseudomonadota; Gammaproteobacteria; Oceanospirillales; Halomonadaceae. The record is from RNAcentral.